AGAUAUGGGUUUGUCUGUUCACUUGUUUGACAACACGAGCCGUCCAUCUAGAGGUAGUUUCCGAUAUGACUGCUGGUGCAUUUCUUUUGUGUCUUCGGAGAUUCAUAGCAACAAGAGGAACUCCAAAAAAAAUUAUUAGCGAUAACGCUAAACAGUUCAAGUUGUCUAGUGAUACCAUCAAAUUAAUUUGGGGAAAUAUGUUACAAGAGGAUGAUGUUCAAUGUUAUGUGUCGGGGCAAGAUAUAAAAUGGACAUUUAUUGUCGAAUUAGCACCAUGGAUGGGUGGUUUUUAUGAAAGAUUAGUCGGAAUUGUCAAGCAAGCGUUACGAAAAUCUCUCGGCAGAAAACUAUUGAUAAUGGAUCAAAUGAACACUGUGAUAAAGGAAGUGGAGUCUGUAAUUAACAGGAGACCAUUGGUAUAUGUUGGCGAAGAUAAGUCUUCAAUUGCUCUGACACCGUGCCACUUUUGAGUUUAAAUCCAAAAACUGGAAUCCCGGAGCUCGACUAUGAUACAAAGGAUCCCGAAUUUAAACCAUAUGAAAGCACUGCUGAAAAAUUAUUGCAAAUUUGGAAAAAAGGGGAACAACUUUUGAAUAGAUUUUGGGUAUUAUGGCGAGAUGAGUAUUUGCUUAGUUUACGAGAAUGAUCACAAAACAAAAUAAAAUCGUCAAGAAUCCAGUCUCAUGAACACCAAGUGUAGGAGAUGUAGUUAUAGUAAAGGAUAACUUACCUCGUGGUCAGUGGAAACUUGGGAAAGUGAUAAAGCUCCAUACAAGCCAAGACGGUCAAAUUAGAUCUGCUAAGUUAAAGGUAUCGAACGGACAAAUUCUGAGAAGACCGCUUAAUUUGCUCUAUCCGAUAGAGAUAUCAGGCAGUGACACAAUGUUACAAAAUAGUGUAAAUCAUGAUAAAAUUGUUACAAAUGAUGCUAAAGAAGAAAGGCCUAAACGAAGAGCUGCAGAAAAAGCGAAAGAACUUUUAAGAAGAAUUUAAAUUCGUGGCGGUAGGAUCGCUAAAACGCGAAAAAUGAUAUAAAUGUGAAAAUGGAUUUACAAUAAUGUAACAGUGCUGUGGUUAGUUUAUACAUGAAUAAAUACGGAGAUUUUGUAAAUAAUUUAAUGAUAAUAAGUUGAAUGUACAUAAGUUAUUUUCAAGUACAGAUGGGAGCAAGUGUUAUAGUCAUCAUAAGCGUUAAAUCACGUGGUCGGUGGGAGCAAAGUAUAAUGAAAACAUUAAUGGCGCGCAGUUUGCACGUGAAAAACGAGGAAAGCAUUUACUUUUUGUUGGGUAUAUCCCAUGUGUUCUAUUCAUUCAUUUAUAACUUAUUUUUCACCGUGAGCGGACGUACUUUAAAGACACCACAAUGUUUUCUUGCGAUACUUGUGAAAAAACGUUUACGCAGAAAAGAAAUCUGAAACACCAUAUUUCAGAGGCACAUUUAUUUCCAAAAGAUUGGUGCUGUACUAUAAAGGAUUGUAGUGCAAAAUUCCUGCGACGCUAUACUCUUGUUAAUCACUUGGUGAAGAUGCAUCAACUAUCAAAGUUACAGGCUUUGCAAACAGCGCUUACGUGUUACUCAACAUUGCCAGGCUGAAGAUAGCGAUAAAGUUGAAGAGGAAAGUGGAAGUGUUGGUGAUAGUGAUGUGGAUUUGAAUGCUAGUUAUGAAUAUGGAAAUAAUGGAGUUGAAAGUGAUUUAGAUGGUGAUGCCUUACGUAAUUCUAAAAGGUGUACUGAGAAAAAUAUGUUCAAAUGAAUGCACAAAGUGGACGCCAAAAGAACAUUGGGAUGUUUAUUUAAAAAGUAUCGCUACGACUUGGGGUAUGUUCCCAGGUGAAUACAGCUCUACAACCAACGUAGAUCUAUUAAUUUUUCCUGUGAAUGUUUUAGAAAAAGUCUGAAUACACGAGAUUGGUAGUGUGAUAACAACCAAGUAUUUUGGUUGUUGAUAGUCUGAAUGCAAGCAUUGGACUGAUCUGUAUGAGUCCCAGGGAUGUUUAAUUAGGUAAGCGAUAUGUAUCAGACUGGAAGCAUUCAUUUGUAAUUAACACCUGGUGAGAGCGAUUUUUACAAAUCUAACUGAUCAGAGUUCGAAGGCCGUGCCGAAUUUUAUAUGUCUGAUCCUAGAUUUCUAAGAGGGCGCGAAAUUUUGUAUGUCCGUUGCCGCUCAUUUACCGUCUGAUAUCUAACGGCGUAAAUAAAAAGUGUUUAUUGAUGAAGUAUAUAAAUCAAUUAAUAACAAUUUUAUGAAUUUAAUCAGAGACUUCAUUUAUAUGACCAAUUUAAUUAUGUUUUAAAUAAAUUAUGUAGAGUUGUUUUCUCUUUAUACAUAUGUUUCAAAAAUGGCUGUAUUUAUAAUAUUAUUUCUAUAAUAAAGUGAGUUUUCAUGAGAGAAUGCGGGUCUGUUUGGAGAUAGACAAGCUGUUGAGAAUUUUCUAUGUUGAUGUACAGGCAUUGUAACUCUUGAAUAAACAAAGAGUGAAAAUUUAUCUUAAGCUAUUGUUUAUUUGUUAAUUUAGAUAGACUAAAAUUACGCAUUUUUGUUAGAUUGUCUGUAUUCUGUGAUACCGUCGUGUAAUGUAAUACCUAGGUUUAUAAUUUUCUAUUUUGGUAUUUCUUUCGGAUAAUUAAGAUUUUAACUGUACAUUUCAAAAGUCAGACAAAACAUGUCAACUUUACAGUAGCUUCAGGGUGUAAAACAUCCGUAGUUUACGGAAGUGAAAUAAUGUGUCUGAUGUGUUUUCCUGUAUAAUCCUUUAUAAACUCAAUAUACUCUGUGAUCAGGAGAGAGGCUGCCCAAGUGGCGGGCUAAGGGUCUUGUUCCCGCUCUCAUGAGCUGAAAUUUAAUAAGCAUUGUUAAGAGCUAGGCUGAAGUACAUGUAUAAUUAAGAACUUAUAUUUAUAGAGUUGUUAACAGAACUGAUUUAGAAAGCUUAUUGAACAUUUAUUAUAUCUGUGAAAUUAGUUGGAACAUUUAUAAGUAACUGUGCAUUGCUGUCGUAGUAAAAUAAAUGUUAGAACUGUCGUAAUUUGUUGUGUUUCAAGUAAGCUUCAGGUACAACGUGCUACGUUACAAGCACUUUUAUGGCGCCGGUGACCAGGAUGUCGAAUUCUACAAUGGGUUGUUGCGAGAUCAAUGUGCAAGUACUACCACUAUACCAUGAUACGCCGAAAAUGAUGUGAUGCUGCUAACAGUAAGACCUUUAUUUUCAAACAUAGUUCUUAAAUACAAGCUUUUUCUGUUUUAAAAACAAGAAAUUUAACUUAUUCAUCAUUUGGAGUUUGAGACGAAACUGAAUAAGAAUGUACUUGGCUAAUUUUCGUAUUCCUUUGAAAUUCAUACGAAAUCAUGAUGAAAUUUUAUUAGAAUAUGAUUAUUUAGCUGAAAAAUGUUGAAAAUAGCAAAAUGAUUAAAGAAACGCAAGGAAGCCUCAAAUAUUUAUUUUUGUGUAUAUAAAGUUACUAUUUUUUGUUGUUUAUGCAUAUUUCAUUCUGUAAAUAGCUAUUUUAUUGAUACCCAAUGGUGCAUUCUUAUAUUGUAAUUGUAAAGGAAAAGCUAUGGAAGCUUAAAUUCCUUGAAACCAUUUUAAUAGUAUUAAAUGGCGUAUCCUCUAUAAUGUGUCCAUUUUCGAUAUGGAUACUAGUAAUUAAAACUAUAGAGGUGCUGUGCUUUCGCACGGGUUGAACGUUUAAGUACACGUUUAUUUAAGGCACUUUUGGGAGCAAUUUUAUUGACUAUUUAUUACUUGUAUAUAGAUUCAUCGGAGUACAGUCAUAUUGAUUUGAGUGUUUAAAAUCAAUUAAGCUGAAUUGAUAUAUUUGUUUCCUAGCCUCAAGGCAGGCUUGUCAACCGCGUCUAGAGAAGACGAUGUGUUGUGAUAUAAUAUAAAAAUCCCUUUAGGUGUAGAGUUGAUUUGAUACAAAUAGGCUCAGGGAUUAGGUAUGAAUGUUAAAAUCGCCACUAUACUAGGUUCAGUAUGUAGACUGUUUUUAUUGAAAGUAACAGUUUGUGGUCAUUCAUGGGUAUAAAUAUUCAGCUGUUCGUGAAGUAAAAGAGAUGUUGUACUCCGUCAUUGUUAUGCAUGUAGAAGCAUAACUGAUUAUUGUCAUUAAUUUGUGUAAAUAUUGAUUUCAGUAUGUGUUUUGUUUGCUUGCAAAUUUGUUUAUUUCUAUGUAAGGUGUCAUACGGUAUAAUAUUUGACGUUUUGCUAGCGUUUCUUCUCUUGUGUGAGAUACUGAUUUUGUCCGUUGUCUGUUUUAGACUAUAGACUUUAAAGAAAAUUGAAACAAGCUUGUACUUAAUAUUAAGAACUAUGAAGAUUAAAAAGGCUUGAUAGCUUAUGCUCACAUAUUCAUAUGAAUAUCCCGGUGAAGGAUUUAGAAAUAAAGAUAGUUCUAACACAACAUUUGUAAACAGUACAUACUAUGAAAUAAUUUGAACUUGGCAAUUCAGAUAAAAACAGUGAUAAAUAAACAUAACAUUCAUAUUUAAAAUGUAUAGAAAAGGAGAGACAUUUCACUGAAUUUCUUACUACGAAGUUAUUUUAUUCAAAUUAAAACGCAAUGAAUGGACUUUGUACAGUAUCAUAAUUAUUAAAUUAAAUGCAUAUUAUCGAAUGACAAGCUGAAACAACAGAAAGUUAACAUGAAAUUAAUUCGCAGAACUUUAGAACAUUUUAGUGCAUGGAGAAAUUAAACGACGAUUAUCGAGUUGGAUAUGGUACGACAAGGUUUCGGCAAUUCAACGAUGAUAACAUCUCCUUGGGUGGAUUCGUUUCACAAAACAAGGAACGAUGGCAGUGGACUUGUUUAAGAAGCUACGGCUUGAGAACCACCGUCUGCUGAUUCCAUGGUCGUUUAACGUCAAACUAUAGUCGAAUCAAUGGUCAUGUGCGGUAGAUGUCACAUUUCACCAGCCAACUUGGAACACAGGAAGAAGAUUUCUCAUUGCAUCUGUUUAAAUUUAUUCCUUUAUCACUUACUUUUUAAACAAGUUGCUUUAUUCUCUCAAGUGAAUUUUUCCAUCAUAGACUGGUACAUUGCUUAUGAUUAAGAAACUAUAUAUUUAUACAUCUUAAUAUAAUAUUUCAAAAAAUGUUAAUCUUACUUGUAAGGAAAACAUGUUACCGUGCAGAAAAAUGUGUUAACAUACAAACUUUCGUAUAUCUGAGUUUCAUGCAAUGUUAAACAGAAUUUUAAUUGUGCUUUCUAAUUUCAGAAUUUGAUGUAUUUGUACCGAUUGAUUCAGAAUAUCCAUGAAAACACAGACCUUGAAUGGAAUUCCUACGCAAACUGGAGCAUUCUAAAUAUGGAGAAUGAAAAUGAUUUUCAUUACGUACAAAUGUGUGAUUGUGAAUAGGACUAUAUCAAAUAAUGAAUGCUACGUACACAUAUGAAAUGAUGUUUUCUGUGUAACUUUUAUGAUGAAUUCUGUGUUCAAGUUAUAACUUAUUUGUAUGUUUAAGCUAUGUUAAUCUAUCAUAUGAUUUAAUAUCUGAAACCUAAACAAGUAGGGAUUCCUGUUUAUUUGAUUUCAUUGAUGUAUGCAAGGGAACGAACAAUUAAAGGAACAUCUCCUGUCUCCUUGAUUGGCGUGCCCUGUUAUAUUGACACAUUAUUCAAUUCCCCAAUAUACAACAUAAUAGCUAGUCCAUAUUAGUUGGAUCUUUUAGACUUCUAUAAUUUUACUGUUUAUUUAGUUCAUUCAGACAUUUCAACCUUUUUUUAUUGUUUUUUUUUUUUUCGUGAAGAAAUGAAGGAAUUUGUAAUGUAAUACCUAGGUUUAUAAUUUUCUAUUUUGGUAUUUCUUUCGGAUAAUUAAGAUUUUAACUGUACAUUUCAAAAGUCAGACAAAACAUGUCAACUUUACAGUAGCUUCAGGGUGUAAAACAUCCGUGAAUUAAUUACUAAGUUUACGGAAGUGAAAUAAUGUGUCUGAUGUGUUUUCCUGUAUAAUCCUUUAUAAACUCAAAAUACUCUGUGAUCAGGAGAGAGGCUGCCCAAGUGGCGGGCUAAGGGUCUUGUUCCCGCUCUCAUGAGCUGAAAUUUAAUAAGCAUUGUUAAGAGCUAGGCUGAAGUACAUGUAUAAUUAAGAACUUAUAUUUAUAGAAUUGUUAACAGAACUGAUUUAGAAAGCUUAUUGAACAUUUAUUAUAUCUGUGAAAUUAGUUGGAACAUUUAUAAGUAACUGUGCAUUGCUGUCGUAGUAAAAUAAAUGUUAGAACUGUCGUAAUUUGUUGUGUUUCAAGUAAGCUUCAGGUACAACGUGCUACGUUACAGUCGUGCAUUUAUUUUCUACGGUUCAGAUAUUGUCCAUUUAAAGAUUCAUGUUAUCUGAUAUUGCUGCCAGUCUAUAAUUUCUACUUCUAUAUUUUUUUCACGAUUGAUGUAAAAUUGAGUCAAAAUAUUUGUUUAAGUUUUACUAGUUUUAUGUAAAUUUAGUUUUAGUAUAUUGGUACAUUGCUUCAAUGUGUCAAUAUAACCCGCCCGCUUAGCUCAGUAGGUAAGAGCGUUGGUCUACGGAUCGCGGGCUUGUGAGUUCGAUCCUCGGGCGGGGCGUAUAUGUAGUGUUAUGCAUGCAACUGUGCUGCAUCUGCACGGUUUUUAUGUUACAUUUUUGUUUCAAUAUGUAAUAUUUGAAACAAAAAUGUUAAAUAGACUUAUUUCAUUAUUUACAAGAUAAAUAUUGGCAUUCCCUGUAAAUCGUAAAUGUGUCUGGAUUUUAGCGGGAUUUGACGAUGACAUUUAACAACGUUUCGCCAGUUCCGGAUUUAUAUUAAAAUUGUUGUUGAACUGAAAGAACGCCAUGGUGUAGAAAUUUAGUCGAAAUUUGUCAUUUUGAUAAAGGCCAUAAGGCUGAAACGUUAAUAAAACAGAGUCUUUAAAAUUGAUCGUUAAGCAAAAUAGAAUCAAAGAAGUACAUGACGAGUGAUUAGUUAUGUAGAAUAUCACAUGGGGUUGUUUGCAUGAUGUGAAGUUUCUCGAUGUUGGCCUACAUAUGUGUCCCCGAUUAAUGAAACUAUUUUAUUUCAUUUAAGCAAAAUAGAAUCAAAGCAUCACAAGGAGGCGUUUGCGUCUUCUAGCUCUUUGUGUAGAAAAAGAUCUGAGGAGAUGCACAUGACUACUUAUUGGAGUCAAGCCAUGGUCACGUGACUGAUACACGUGAUGGAAACGCUAAUAUUGUAUAGAAUGCUUGAACUGUGAUAAAAUAAACGGAUUUGAAAAAAGAUUUAUUGAAAUUUACGGAAAAGUUCCAGCGGAAGAAGGCAGAUACAGAAUUAAGAUACUGAAGGCUGAAAAGAUGUUGAUGAUACGGACAAUGAAUCAUAUUCUCAAAUUUCUUAAAAAUUUUCAGAGACACAUUUUUCUACUUAGCUUAUCUAAUACAGUCAAACCUGUGUGUAAAGAACACCUCUGGGAAAAUGAAGAAGGGCUGUUUGUCGACAGAUGGUCUCUCUACAAAGGAUACUUUACACUAUUAAUGGAUGAACGAGUGAAAAUAGAGACCUUUAUUAGCUGGUUUUCAGGUUGUGACCUUUAUUCGGAGGUGUUAUGUAGUACAGGUUUGACUGUAUACUGUUUCUCCGUGCUAAGUAUUCAUAACAAACACCAUUUUUCUGAAUUAAAUCCUCUCUAAAUUUGUUAAAAAUGAACUUUUGUGCACACUUAUGAACGGAUGGUAAUUUUGUGAACGUAUUGCUAUUCCACUAAGUAUCAAGAUGCUUCUGAAAGUAUGAAAUUUACAUUGGUUUUGACAAAUGUAUAUAACUGGUUUUAAGAUAUCUAUUAAGUUAUUUCUCAGUGUUAUUUCAAACUAUGUGUAAAUAAUAAUAUCCAAUGUUACAUGCAAAAUAUGCAUGAUUCGUUAAGACCAAAAACAAUGAUUUCCAUAGAACCGCUUGUAUAGAAAACUUUCUUAAUAGGUAACGUCAAUUUUGAAAAAAAAAAACAAUGCAUGUGAAUAAAUUCAAGUUCUGCUGCUUUCGAA
Long non-coding RNA from Mercenaria mercenaria, 7985 nucleotides. RefSeq lists it as uncharacterized. Lineage: Eukaryota; Metazoa; Mollusca; Bivalvia; Venerida; Veneridae. The transcript is spliced from 5 exons. The record is from RefSeq and is a predicted model, not a curated record.